GAACGCACAUUGCGCCCGCCAGCAUUCUGGCGGGCAUGCCUGUUCGAGCGUCAUUUCAACCCUCGCAGCCCAUCUGGGCAGCGGUGUUGGGGACCGGCACCACCGGCGAAGCCCUUAGGGGCCCAGCCGGCGCCGCCCCCGAAAUACAGUGGCGGUCUCGCUGCAGCCUCCCUUGCGUAGUAGCACACCUCGCACCGGAGCGCAGCGCGGCCACGCCGUAAAACCCCCGACUUUCUGAGUUUGACCUCGAAUCAGGUAGGAAUACCCGCUGAACUUAAG
This 279-nucleotide unclassified non-coding RNA is filed under the name uncultured Hypocreales. RNAcentral's name for it is "sequence contains 5.8S rRNA gene". The stretch from base 1 to 53 matches the Rfam family "5.8S ribosomal RNA", at positions 102 to 154 of the family's 154-position model. Lineage: Eukaryota; Fungi; Ascomycota; Sordariomycetes; Hypocreales. The record is from RNAcentral.